This 597-nucleotide unclassified non-coding RNA is filed under the name Hevea brasiliensis (rubber tree). Lineage: Eukaryota; Viridiplantae; Streptophyta; Magnoliopsida; Malpighiales; Euphorbiaceae. The record is from RNAcentral.
GCGACGAUUAGCUAUCUAGCUUAGCUACUCGAUCAUCAGAUCAUCGAUCAUCCGACGAUCAAAUCAGUAAUCUUGAAUAUGGCGGCUUUGAACGGUAAGGUGGUGGUGGCGGUGAUGGUGGUGGCGAUGGUGGUGGCGGCGCCGGGAGCGUCGGCGGCGAUCACGUGCGGUCAGGUGGGAUCGGCGAUCGCGCCGUGCAUCUCGUACGUGACGGGGAGGAGCGGCCUCACGCAGGGAUGCUGCAACGGAGUGAAGGGGCUGAACAACGCCGCCCGCACCACCGCCGACCGCCAGGCGGCCUGCCGCUGCCUCAAGAGCCUCGCCGGCAGCAUCAAGUCGCUCAACCUCGGCACCGUCGCCGGCGUCCCCGGCAAGUGCGGCGUCAACGUCGGCUUCCCCAUCAGCCUCUCCACCGACUGCAACAAGGUCAGUUAAAUCAAUCCUGCUUGGAUCGAUCGAUCGAGCUUAACAUGCUAGCUCAAUCGGAGUUGAUCAGCUAGUAAUUAAGCACGUACUUGCUACAGCAUAUAUGAACAAAGUAAUUAAAAUAACACCUGCGGCAGACAUGCAGCGCUCCAUUCUCUCUCUGUAUCAGCU